Helianthus annuus (common sunflower) is the source of this 514-nucleotide long non-coding RNA. RefSeq lists it as uncharacterized. Lineage: Eukaryota; Viridiplantae; Streptophyta; Magnoliopsida; Asterales; Asteraceae. The record is from RefSeq and is a predicted model, not a curated record. The transcript is spliced from 5 exons.
UAUAUAUAUAUAUAAAUGAGAUGUGAUUUGGGCUAGGUGGCAUUGGAUUUGGGACAUUUUUGCUGAUGUGGCAACUUAUAUUUUUGAGUUUAGGAGGGAAUUCUCAAAUGCCUUCAUCAUUCACGAUUUUAACAAAAAAGUGGCGGGAUCCGGCUGUGAUUCGGGUCACCCAAUAUUAAAAAACGGAUCCUAUAUAUCAUCUUUACCAGACCACCAUAUCUCAUAACCUCACUUUUCACAAACCCUACAUACCAUUUCCUAAAUCUGCUUCUUCGUUUUUCAGAGAUUCAUCGUCCUUAGAUGAGAUUCAUAAGGACGACAAUGUUUUGAUGCUUUCUUCAUCUUCAUGGUUUGCUUGUGGUCUUUCGUAUCCGUCAAAACCCUAAUCGACCGGAGAAAUCGUCAAAAGUUCUUCACAAUAUGAUCGUUCCACAUAAUUUGCAGAUAUGCAUCCCUUGCACAACAGUCCUUCAUUUUUAAAGCUUAUUGAUGAAGAUGACCCGAUAUUUUUGGU